GAUUGUUACUCCAUCGAUUUUAUUGUUGCUCCGUUCCACUCUGGCCACAUUUUGCAUCGUCAUAGCAAUCACAAGUGGCGUACGAAAGUCAGAUCCAAGAUGGUUCAUUUAUCUCACAAACUGGGGUUUCCUGUUACUCACUAUGGCUAUGAUAGGACUUGCGCUAAUUAGCAUAAUCCACGCGUUUUCGAAAACUGAUUUGAGAAAGACUUCGCUUGAGAUGCGCAGCCGUGGUGAAAUGAUUGAUGCUGAAAGUACCUCACAAACGCAAAGUAACGAAAAUCAAAUCGAGCCCAAGUCUUUAGCCUGGUACGAAAAAGGCAAGAAAGGACAAUUUGUUUAUAGUCUGACAUAAAUAUCUGUAGCAUAUAAACUGCUUUGGAAAUACUGAAAGGCAAAAGCCGAUAAUACUCCAGGGGAUGAAAUGAUCAUCAUCGUUGAUAAAUUUAUAAAAUGUUAUCGAUCUUUGGAAUUACACUUGUUUUGUAUUUUGUUAAAAUACUCAGUGGUUUGAAACAUUUUCUGUUCUUAAAAAGUAGUUAAAAGUUUUAUACCUGCAUAUAACCAGCUCCAGCAGUGCCGCCGCCUGCCCUCUCUCCCCGCCCCCAUUGUUUUCACUGUGCAGUUUUAGAUUCGUUCAAUUCCAGAGUUGAACGCAAUGGGUUCACACUGCGAAAAUUAUUCUCCGAUUAUUACAUUCUCCAAGUGCUCCCACAAAGCACGAAAUUCCGUUUCAGAUACCCCCUAGAAUUGUGACAUUACAGAUUAUUAGUUCCUCCCCCCCCCGAAAUAAAAUCCGGGCGGCGCCACUGGGCCUCAUGUUUCUUGAAUUUUCAUGUUGUUGCAUUACAUUAUAUCGGACGGUGUGCAUACGGCACACACAUACAUAUCGCGUAUAAGAGGCCUCCAAAGAGCUAAUAUGCUCAUGUAGUUUACUAAGAACGUUUUCACGUACAGUUUUGAUUCGAUAGUUUCAUCCCAUAUACAUUCCAGACUGUAAUUACUUUGAAAUGAGUGUACAUCCACUUGAUGGAUAAUAUGCAUUUUCUGUUGCUAGGCGUAUGGUUUCUGUGGAUUAUCGCAUCAAAUGGUGCAUUGGUGGUUUCCUUAAAUUACUGGGUACUAGUCUUUGAACCUCCCACAAACUUCAUGGACAUCGCAGUUCAUGCACUCAAUUCAACUGUCAUGUUUGUGGAGUUCUUCACGGCAUCCAUACCGGUCCGUAUUCUACAUGUUCUGUAUGUAAUGUUAUUCGCAGUCGUCUAUAGUCUAUUCACUGUUAUAUUCUGGGCUGCUGGAGGAGUGACUGUUGAUGGUGAUCCAUAUAUAUACAAGGUUUUAGACUAUGAGAAUGGUGAUCCCGCUCAGGUCUCUGCUGUGGUGCUUGGUAUCGUCUUUGUCGCCUCACCCAUUCUACAGUUUAUUCUGUUUGCUCUAUACCAAUUGAGAUGUUUCUUGCAUAAGAAGAGGGGAAACUUGAGUGUUAACGUUACUGUGACUAACCAAUGAUGCUCAUGCGAGAGCCUUUAUAUCAUCUUUGUCAUCUUACCCAUCUUAUGGUAUCAAUGAGAUGGAGAAGAUACUUCGAUGUUACUGUAUAGAAUAAAACUACUGUAUUGUUUAGAUUAGAUUUAUUUACAAAAACUGCUUAUAUAUAUUCGCUUAUACAACCGAAAUUCAAGGACUCUUCUCUAUCACAACGUUAGUCCAGAUCUCGUUCAGAUCUGCAGAAGAAAUCUGUCGCCUCGAAAACUAAAAGGCAGGUACUUUCAUUUGAAAAAAGACUUAUGUCUGAACGAAGUUUCUGACCUCAACUUAAUUUUCGAAUUUGCAAUAAUGAAAACUAAUUAAUUUCACUUCAUG
This 1863-nucleotide long non-coding RNA is filed under the name Paramuricea clavata. The record is from RNAcentral. Lineage: Eukaryota; Metazoa; Cnidaria; Anthozoa; Malacalcyonacea; Plexauridae.